Molecule: non-coding RNA, 142 nt
Filed under: chicken gut metagenome
Description: glmS glucosamine-6-phosphate activated ribozyme
Rfam family: glmS glucosamine-6-phosphate activated ribozyme aptamer
About the family: This entry contains a glucosamine-6-phosphate activated ribozyme that is found in the mRNA for GlmS. GlmS is an enzyme that uses fructose-6-phosphate and glutamine to generate glucosamine-6-phosphate.
Source: RNAcentral
UUUUAUAAAGCGCCUGGACAAUGUAAAACAUUGUUGACGAGGUUAGAGUUUAUCGAAAUUUUCGGCGGGUGGCUCUAUGGCACAGUUACUGCCAUUAAUUGCUAACAAAAAGUAGUAGUAAUACUAUAACAAAUUUAGCAGG